Molecule: ribosomal RNA, 2374 nt
Filed under: Staphylococcus aureus
Lineage: Bacteria; Bacillati; Bacillota; Bacilli; Caryophanales; Staphylococcaceae
Description: partial 23S ribosomal RNA
Rfam family: Bacterial large subunit ribosomal RNA
Source: RNAcentral
AACCAGUACCGUGAGGGAAAGGUGAAAAGCACCCCGGAAGGGGAGUGAAAUAGAACCUGAAACCGUGUGCUUACAAGUAGUCAGAGCCCGUUAAUGGGUGAUGGCGUGCCUUUUGUAGAAUGAACCGGCGAGUUACGAUUUGAUGCAAGGUUAAGCAGUAAAUGUGGAGCCGUAGCGAAAGCGAGUCUGAAUAGGGCGUUUAGUAUUUGGUCGUAGACCCGAAACCAGGUGAUCUACCCUUGGUCAGGUUGAAGUUCAGGUAACACUGAAUGGAGGACCGAACCGACUUACGUUGAAAAGUGAGCGGAUGAACUGAGGGUAGCGGAGAAAUUCCAAUCGAACCUGGAGAUAGCUGGUUCUCUCCGAAAUAGCUUUAGGGCUAGCCUCAAGUGAUGAUUAUUGGAGGUAGAGCACUGUUUGGACGAGGGGCCCCUCUCGGGUUACCGAAUUCAGACAAACUCCGAAUGCCAAUUAAUUUAACUUGGGAGUCAGAACAUGGGUGAUAAGGUCCGUGUUCGAAAGGGAAACAGCCCAGACCACCAGCUAAGGUCCCAAAAUAUAUGUUAAGUGGAAAAGGAUGUGGCGUUGCCCAGACAACUAGGAUGUUGGCUUAGAAGCAGCCAUCAUUUAAAGAGUGCGUAAUAGCUCACUAGUCGAGUGACACUGCGCCGAAAAUGUACCGGGGCUAAACAUAUUACCGAAGCUGUGGAUUGUCCUUUGGACAAUGGUAGGAGAGCGUUCUAAGGGCGUUGAAGCAUGAUCGUAAGGACAUGUGGAGCGCUUAGAAGUGAGAAUGCCGGUGUGAGUAGCGAAAGACGGGUGAGAAUCCCGUCCACCGAUUGACUAAGGUUUCCAGAGGAAGGCUCGUCCGCUCUGGGUUAGUCGGGUCCUAAGCUGAGGCCGACAGGCGUAGGCGAUGGAUAACAGGUUGAUAUUCCUGUACCACCUAUAAUCGUUUUAAUCGAUGGGGGGACGCAGUAGGAUAGGCGAAGCGUGCGAUUGGAUUGCACGUCUAAGCAGUAAGGCUGAGUAUUAGGCAAAUCCGGUACUCGUUAAGGCUGAGCUGUGAUGGGGAGAAGACAUUGUGUCUUCGAGUCGUUGAUUUCACACUGCCGAGAAAAGCCUCUAGAUAGAAAAUAGGUGCCCGUACCGCAAACCGACACAGGUAGUCAAGAUGAGAAUUCUAAGGUGAGCGAGCGAACUCUCGUUAAGGAACUCGGCAAAAUGACCCCGUAACUUCGGGAGAAGGGGUGCUCUUUAGGGUUAACGCCCAGAAGAGCCGCAGUGAAUAGGCCCAAGCGACUGUUUAUCAAAAACACAGGUCUCUGCUAAACCGUAAGGUGAUGUAUAGGGGCUGACGCCUGCCCGGUGCUGGAAGGUUAAGAGGAGUGGUUAGCUUCUGCGAAGCUACGAAUCGAAGCCCCAGUAAACGGCGGCCGUAACUAUAACGGUCCUAAGGUAGCGAAAUUCCUUGUCGGGUAAGUUCCGACCCGCACGAAAGGCGUAACGAUUUGGGCACUGUCUCAACGAGAGACUCGGUGAAAUCAUAGUACCUGUGAAGAUGCAGGUUACCCGCGACAGGACGGAAAGACCCCGUGGAGCUUUACUGUAGCCUGAUAUUGAAAUUCGGCACAGCUUGUACAGGAUAGGUAGGAGCCUUUGAAACGUGAGCGCUAGCUUACGUGGAGGCGCUGGUGGGAUACUACCCUAGCUGUGUUGGCUUUCUAACCCGCACCACUUAUCGUGGUGGGAGACAGUGUCAGGCGGGCAGUUUGACUGGGGCGGUCGCCUCCUAAAAGGUAACGGAGGCGCUCAAAGGUUCCCUCAGAAUGGUUGGAAAUCAUUCAUAGAGUGUAAAGGCAUAAGGGAGCUUGACUGCGAGACCUACAAGUCGAGCAGGGUCGAAAGACGGACUUAGUGAUCCGGUGGUUCCGCAUGGAAGGGCCAUCGCUCAACGGAUAAAAGCUACCCCGGGGAUAACAGGCUUAUCUCCCCCAAGAGUUCACAUCGACGGGGAGGUUUGGCACCUCGAUGUCGGCUCAUCGCAUCCUGGGGCUGUAGUCGGUCCCAAGGGUUGGGCUGUUCGCCCAUUAAAGCGGUACGCGAGCUGGGUUCAGAACGUCGUGAGACAGUUCGGUCCCUAUCCGUCGUGGGCGUAGGAAAUUUGAGAGGAGCUGUCCUUAGUACGAGAGGACCGGGAUGGACAUACCUCUGGUGUACCAGUUGUCGUGCCAACGGCAUAGCUGGGUAGCUAUGUGUGGACGGGAUAAGUGCUGAAAGCAUCUAAGCAUGAAGCCCCCCUCAAGAUGAGAUUUCCCAACUUCGGUUAUAAGAUCCCUCAAAGAUGAUGAGGUUAAUAGGUUCGAGGUGGAAG